This 253-nucleotide ribosomal RNA is filed under the name uncultured bacterium. RNAcentral describes it as "partial 16S ribosomal RNA". It matches the Rfam family "Bacterial small subunit ribosomal RNA", at positions 524 to 776 of the family's 1533-position model. The record is from RNAcentral.
GACAGAGGGUGCAAGCGUUGUUCGGAAUUAUUGGGCGUAAAGCGCACGUAGGCGGUCGUGUAAGUCGGAUGUGAAAGCCCAGGGCUCAACCCUGGAAGUGCAUUCGAAACUGCACGACUUGAAUCCUGAAGAGGGUGGUGGAAUUCCUGGUGUAGAGGUGAAAUUCGUAGAUAUCAGGAGGAACACCGGUGGCGAAGGCGACCACCUGGGCAGAGAUUGACGCUGAGGUGCGAAAGCGUGGGGAGCAAACAGG